Molecule: long non-coding RNA, 467 nt
Organism: Pygocentrus nattereri (red-bellied piranha)
Lineage: Eukaryota; Metazoa; Chordata; Actinopteri; Characiformes; Serrasalmidae
Source: Ensembl
GAGGCCGUGGGGGGCAGAGCCUUUAAUAAAGGACUGAAAAUGAGUUAUAAAAGAGAAAGUGAGAGUCUCAGCAGCUGAGAAGAGAAUUCAGAGCUUCAGACGCCUGCAGAGAAGCUGGAGAUGAAGAUGAGCUGUGUGUGUUUGGUGCUGGGGCUGGUCCUGCUGAUGACCGUCUCCUCAGACGCUACCGGUGGUUCCAAUGCCCAUCCUUAUCCCUGCUGUUACAGCUUCAUCACUCUUAAAAUUCCAGAACAAGAAAUACUAAAAAUUGAAAAAACACAUUCUGACUGCCCAAAGCCCGGCUUUGUGGUUACAACUCCGAGGGGCAAUUUCUGCAAGAAAAAUCUCUGCGGCGAAAAAUAACAUCAGCAUUUAGGUUUCAGUGCUAGAGCUUCUGUGCAAUAAAGAAUGUUUUGCUACUUCUUAUGUCACUUAUGCUUUUUUUAUACUGUGGAUUCAAAUAAAAC